This 490-nucleotide ribosomal RNA is filed under the name uncultured bacterium. Its description in RNAcentral is "partial 16S ribosomal RNA". It matches the Rfam family "Bacterial small subunit ribosomal RNA", at positions 28 to 507 of the family's 1533-position model. The record is from RNAcentral.
GAUGAACGCUAGCGGUAGGCUUAACACAUGCAAGUCGAGCGGCAGCAUGGUCUUAGCUUGCUAAGGCUGAUGGCGACCGGCGCACGGGUGCGUAACGCGUAUUCAACUUGCCUCUCAGAGGGGUAUAACCCGUCGAAAGACGUACUAAUACCGCGUACACGCUAUGUUGUGCGGCCAGUGUAGAGGCAAUGAAAUUCGCUGUGAGAUAGGCAUGCGUGCCAUUAGCUAGUUGGUGAGGUAACGGCUCACCAAGGCGACGAUGGGUAGGGGAACUGAGAGGGAGACCGCCCACACUGGUACUGAGACACGGAGCAGACGCGUAAGGGAGGAAGCAGUGAGGAAUAUUAGUAGAUGGGAGAGAGACUGAACCAGCCAAGUCGCGUGAAGGAUGACUGUCGUAUGGAUUGUAAACUUCUUUUAUACGAGAAUAACAAGAGUCACGUGUGGCUCCAUGCAUGUAACGUAUGAAUAAGCCACGGCUAAAUCCGUG